GACCGUGUAGCUCAGUUGGCAGAGCAUUGGGCUGGUAUUCCAAAGGUCGUAGGUUCGAAUCCCACUGUGGCCA
Molecule: non-coding RNA, 73 nt
Organism: Paramuricea clavata
Lineage: Eukaryota; Metazoa; Cnidaria; Anthozoa; Malacalcyonacea; Plexauridae
Source: the annotation of a GenBank genome assembly